AUGGGCCGCAAGCUCGCGCUGCUGGUGGGCAUCAACUACCCGGGCACCAAGGCCGAGCUCAGGGGCUGCCACAACGACGUUGACCGCAUGCACCGCUGCCUCGUCGACCGGUUCGGCUUCGACGAGGACGACAUCCGCGUCCUCGUCGACCGCGACGGCUCCCCCGGGCCGCCGCCCACCGGCGCCAACAUCCGCCGCGCGCUGGCCCGGCUCGUCGGCGCCGCGUGCCCCGGGGACUUCCUCUUCUUCCACUUCAGCCGCGGCUGCCGGCCGAGACCGGGCAGGACGACGACACGGGGUACACGAGUGCAUCGUGCCCAGCGACAUGAAUCUCAUCACAGGUUCGACCAUGAUGAUGUGAGUGAACUGGUUCAGAAGGUGCCCGAUGGUUGCAUAUUUACCAUUGUCUCUGACUCAUGCCCAGGCCCCGGUGGCCUGCUUGAGAAGGCCAAGGAGCAGAUAGGCGACAGCACCAGGGAGAGUGAGACCCAGUCCGGUGAACCCGAAGAGCCAUCUGAUUCGCCAACUGGCUUCCGGUCCUUCCUCAAAGCCACUGUCCGGGACGUGUUCAAGUCCAAUAGCCACCGCUUCCGAAGCCGAUACGGAGGUGAGGAGGAGGAGGAGGAGGCGGAUGCACAAGUAGACGUAGAAGCAGCUGAGGACGGCGGCCACACCAAGAGUCGGUCGCUGCCGCUGUCAACACUCAUCGAGAUGCUCAAGCAGCAGAGCGGGAAGGACGACGUGGACGUGGGCUCCAUCCGGAUGACGCUGUUCAACGUCUUCGGGGAGGAUGCCAGCCCAAAGAUCAAGAAGUUCAUGAAGGUCAUGUUUCUCAAGUACUGUGAGGGCAAGCUAGACGAGCAGGACGGCGUGAUGGGCAUGGUCGGUGGCCUGGCCUACAAGCUCCUCAAGGCCAAGCUUGAAGGCGGCGACGAGAAGGGGGAUGCUUUGAGGCCGGCGAUGGAGCAGGAGGUUGGCGGGGAAGAGGAGGUGUACGCGGGGACCAAGUCCUGGGCGCCCAGCAACGGCGUCCUCGUCAGCGGGUGCCAGAGCAGCCAGACGUCGGCGGAUGCAACCACGACGCAGGGCUCCUCGUUCGGCGCGCUCAGCAACGCCAUCCAGACCAUCCUUGAAGGGGAGGAGGGGGAGGUGACCAACAGGGAUCUCGUCAUGGCAGCGCGGGAGGCGCUGGCCAGGCAAGGAUACGCUCAGCAGCCUGGCCUCUACUGCAGCGAUGAGCUCCUCCAUGUGGCUUUCAUUUGCUGA
Molecule: ribosomal RNA, 1266 nt
Filed under: Triticum aestivum (bread wheat)
Lineage: Eukaryota; Viridiplantae; Streptophyta; Magnoliopsida; Poales; Poaceae
Description: partial small subunit ribosomal RNA
Source: RNAcentral